AACGAAAUUCAAGACAACAAUAACCAACCACAACCCGUAUGAAGAAUAGCAAGGGGCGCGGUUUACAUACGGCCCAUCCAAUCGGUAGAGGCUGUACUGGAGUCCCGUGCUGGACUGGGCCUCGGUCUUGCCUGGUGUCAUGCAACCGACUAUUGAAUAUGUGAUGGCGGCAGAAGACUUGAGAAUUCCCGGGGAGGGUAUUCUUAUAGGGGAUAAGAUAUACUCUGGUGUAACCCUAACUUUAGAUAACUGUCUCCUGCCACUGGAGCGACUACAGCAGAGUCCGUCCGCUGAACAUGGGCUCUCCGCGGAUACCGAGGAGCAGCUGCGGAUGCGGAGCUGUGAGUUGAUACAGGCCGCGGGUAUUCUGCUUAGACUCCCGCAGGUAGCCAUGGCCACGGGGCAGAUCCUUUUCCAGAGGUUCUACUAUUGCAAAUCGUUCGUCAGACACUGUGCAGAGAUGGUUGCCAUGGCUUGUGUGCACCUGGCUUCAAAGAUCGAGGAGGAACCGCGCAGGGUACGAGAUGUUCUCAAUGUGUUCUACCACCUCAAACACAGCAAAGGCAAAAGGGCCCAGGUCCCCAUGCCUUUGGAUGCCAGCUACAUCAGUGCCAAGGCUCAGGUAAUCAAGACAGAGAGGAGAGUACUGAAGGAGCUGGGCUUCUGUGUGCAUGUCAAACACCCCCACAAGAUCAUUGUGAUGUACCUCCAGGUGCUGGAGUGUGAGAAGAACACCAAGCUGGUACAGACAGCUUGGAACUACAUGAAUGACAGUCUGAGGACAGAUGUGUUCCUGAGGUUCAGUGCUGAGACCGUGGCCUGUGCCUGUAUCUACCUGUCAGCCAGAACACUUCAGAUCCCUCUGCCGGACCAGCCUCCCUGGUUCCUGCUGUUUGGUGCGUCUGAGGAGGACCUGAGGGAGAUCUGUGGGCGGAUCCUGAGGCUGUACUCACUGCCCAACGUCUCCCUCCCCAGUAUGUUAAAAGAAGUGGAGCAGUGUCACCUGGCCCUGGAUGCACGCAUCGCCAAGGCUAAGCUGGCAGGAGGGGGACUACUGGCUGUGGGCACCCCCACCCUGGACGUCCCCUCCAGCUUCUCCCCUGCCUCCAAAGCAGCGUCGCCUGCUGUACCACAGACCAACAGGGAGUCUCCCCCUAAAUCAAGUCGCCCUAAAAAAUGCCUGCCGGAAACUCACUAACGGAGACGAGAAGAAAAGAGGGAGUCGUAGUGAUGAGAGAAGAGAGACUCAGUCCAUGUCUCCUUCCAGAAGAAGACGCAGUCGCAGUGUCUCUUCUCCUUUGCGCUCUGUCUCUCCCACCCACCGCCAGAAAAUCAGUCGCCGGGAUAGAGAAAGGGAAAAAGAGCGGGAGCGUCGGCGGGAACGGGAGAGGGAGCGGGGAAGAGGAAGGAGAGAUGAAUACUCACGUAGAAGAUAACUCUCAUAGGUGUUAUCAAGGAAGAGCUAUCAUAAAUGACCUAUGGAACAGCACAUCAUGGACCAAAUACAAGCCAGACUUUCCAAUGUUUUCACUUUUGUAGAUUGUUUGUAUUACAUUAUAAUUUGGGAAACUAUGCUCUAAGAUCAUAGUCCAAAGCUUUUGUCUGAACAAUAUUUUUGAAAUAAAAAUGCUUUUAGAUGA
This is an RNA transcript of Oncorhynchus gorbuscha (pink salmon), 1640 nucleotides long. It is a transcript of the gene named cyclin-L2-like, with no coding region annotated. NCBI's taxonomy places the organism in Eukaryota, Metazoa, Chordata, Actinopteri, Salmoniformes, Salmonidae. The record is from RefSeq and is a predicted model, not a curated record. The transcript has 10 exons.